RNAcentral lists this transfer RNA (65 nucleotides) under Drilaster sp. BMNH 840462. RNAcentral's name for it is "tRNA-Ala". Lineage: Eukaryota; Metazoa; Arthropoda; Insecta; Coleoptera; Lampyridae. The record is from RNAcentral.
AGGAUAGUAGUUAAAAUUAACAUUUAAUUUGCACUUAAAAAAUAUUGAAUAAUCAAUUUAUCUUA